CUAAGACACAUAAUCUACAUUAUUUUGCAUAACAAAGAAAUUGUUUUUGGUUUCAUCGACCUAAGCUGUGUCUAGCAGCUGUUUCUUCUUCUUAAUCAUAAUCAAGUCACGCACAUUCAAACAAACAACACGAACAGCCCAUUUGACGGAUCUCUCUAAAGCUCAAAACUUUCCGAAUUCCAUUAAUAUAUUUUUAUCUUUAUAAACCCAUCUACUCUUCAUUUCACACCCAAAAUGGCUUCCUCCUCUGCCACCCCUCUCUCUGCUUCUGCUUCUUCUUCUUCUUCUUUCUCUGCUCUCUCCGAAGCCCCCUCCGCUUUCCCCCAUUAUUACCAUUCCGCCACUCUUUCUUUCCCCCUCUCCGCUAAAUCCACCAGGCUCAGGCUCUCGAACAAGGGUUCUUUGAAAUAUUCAUCCGUUGCCAAAGCCCAAUUGAAUGAGGUAAGUUUCUUUCAAUCAUUUUCACUGGAGGGUCUGUUUUCAAUUGUUCAUUCCUUCCUGGACACGCUUCUCGGAUCAUCAAAUGAUGCAGCCACACCUCCAGCCAAAUCGGAAGUACCAGGAGCAGAAGUGGAAGAUGCUAAGGCAUCAAAUGAGCCUUCUCCAGAAACUCUGACUACAGAGGAAUCAAUUUCAGAGUUUAUCACUCAAGCUGCAAGUCUUGUUAAGCUUGUUGAUUCAAGAGAUAUAGUGGAGUUGCAAUUGAAACAACUCGAUUGUGAACUAAUUAUCCGGAAAAAAGAGGCCUUGCCACAAUCUCCAUUGCCUGCUCCCACUGUUAUGAUGCAUUCACCCACUCCACCACCUGUAAUGCCAACGGCUCCACCUCCUCCUGCCCCCACACCUCCUGCAUCUGCUCCAUCUCCAACUCCAUCCCCAUCAACUCCUACUCCAGCUGCCAAACCGGCUAAGUCUUCACUUCCACCUCUUAAAUGUCCCAUGGCAGGUACAUUCUAUAGGAGUCCCGCACCUGGUGAACCACCGUUUGUAAAGAUUGGAGACAAAGUGCAGAAGGGACAGGUCUUAUGCGUCAUUGAGGCCAUGAAAUUAUUGAAUGAAAUAGAAGCUGAUCAAUCAGGAACCAUAAUCGAGGUCCUUGUAGAAGAUGGAAAGCCAGUCAGCCUCGAUACGCCUCUCUUUGUGAUCGAACCAUAGAAUUAUCAAAAAGGCAAGUAAAUGAAUCAAGUAAAUAUGAGAGGGCAUGCUCAGUUCCUGGUGGCGUUUGAUUUUGAUCUUUAGAAAGCUUGCCAGUUGCCAAUGUUGCUCAUGGUAAAUGCUGGUUUUUUAUUGCCAUUUUUGAUCUAUUUAUCAUUGAAAUUUACAGAGACAUUCAGAUUUGAAUAUAUAGAUUGUAUAUAUUCUUAUUUUACCAUUCGCCACCGAAGUGUGCGUGAGAUAUCGAAAAUGUUUAAUUCUAUA
RNA transcript from Mangifera indica (mango), 1419 nucleotides. It is a transcript of the gene named biotin carboxyl carrier protein of acetyl-CoA carboxylase 1, chloroplastic-like, with no coding region annotated. NCBI's taxonomy places the organism in Eukaryota, Viridiplantae, Streptophyta, Magnoliopsida, Sapindales, Anacardiaceae. The record is from RefSeq and is a predicted model, not a curated record. The transcript is spliced from 7 exons.